GUGCUUGUUUCAGCAGCACUUACACUAAAUUGGAAGAUUAGCAUGACCCCUGCCCAAGGAUGGUAUACAAAUUCAUGAAGUGUUCUAUAUUUAA
This is a small nuclear RNA of Cricetulus griseus (Chinese hamster), 94 nucleotides long. The record is from Ensembl. Lineage: Eukaryota; Metazoa; Chordata; Mammalia; Rodentia; Cricetidae.